GACGAACGCUGGCGGCGUGCUUAACACAUGCAAGUCGAACGGAAAGGCCCUGAGCUUGUGGGUUGCUCGAGUGGCGAACGGGUGUGUAUCACGUGAGUAACAUCCCCUUGACUUUCGGGUAACUUCAGGAAACUGGGGCUAAUACCGGAUAGGAUCUCUUGAUGCAUGUUGGGGGUUGGAAAGUGUCGGCGGUGGUGGAUGGACUUGAGGCUUAUCCGCUGGAUGGUGAGGUAGUGGUUUACCAGGGGUUUGACGGAUAGCCGGCAUGGGAGGGUGACCGGGCACAUGGCGACUGAGAUAGGCCGCAGACUCCAACGGGAGGCAGCAGUGGGGAGUAUGGCGCAAUGGGGGGAAGCCUGAUGCAGCAACGCCGCGUUCGGGAUGACCUCUUACGGGUGGUAAACCGCUGUCGCCUGUGACGAAGCGUGAGUGACGGUAAUUGGUAAAGAAGCACCGGCUAACUACGUG
This 468-nucleotide ribosomal RNA is filed under the name uncultured bacterium. Its description in RNAcentral is "partial 16S ribosomal RNA". It matches the Rfam family "Bacterial small subunit ribosomal RNA", at positions 28 to 507 of the family's 1533-position model. The record is from RNAcentral.